This 887-nucleotide ribosomal RNA is filed under the name uncultured bacterium. RNAcentral describes it as "bacterial SSU rRNA". It matches the Rfam family "Bacterial small subunit ribosomal RNA", at positions 8 to 917 of the family's 1533-position model. The record is from RNAcentral.
AGAGUUUGAUCCUGGCUCAGGACGAACGCUGGCGGCGUGCUUAACACAUGCAAGUCGAGCGAUGAAGCACCUUCGGGUGUGGAUUAGCGGCGAACGGGUGAGGAACACGUGAGGAAUCUGCCCUUCACUCUGGGAUAACUCCGGGAAACCGGGGCUAAUACCGGAUAUUUUCAACUGGCGGCAUCGCCGGUUGAAGAAAGUUUUUCGGUGAAGGAUGACCUCGCGGCCUAUCAGCUUGUUGGUGAGGUAAUGGCUCACCAAGGCAACGACGGGUAGCCGGCCUGAGAGGGCGACCGGCCACACUGGGACUGAGACACGGCCCAGACUCCUACGGGAGGCAGCAGUGGGGAAUAUUGGGCAAUGGAGGAAACUCUGACCCAGCGACGCCGCGUGAGGGAUGAAGGCCUUCGGGUUGUAAACCUCUUUCAGCAGGGAAUAAGCGAAAGUGAAGGUACCUGCAGAAGAAGCACCGGCUAACUAUGUGCCAGCAGCCGCGGUAAUACAUAGGGUGCAAGCGUUGUCCGGAAUUAUUGGGCGUAAAGAGCUCGUAGGUGGUCGAUCACGUCGGAUGGAAAUUCUGAGGCUUAACCUCGGACCUGCAUUCGAUACGGGUUGACUAGAGUGUGGUAGGGGAGACUGGAAUUCCUGGUGUAGCGGUGGAAUGCGCAGAUAUCAGGAGGAACACCGAUGGCGAAGGCAGGUCUCUGGGGCAUUACUGACACUGAGGAGCGAAAGCGUGGGGAGCGAACAGGAUUAGAUACCCUGGGUAGCCACGCCGGAAACGGUGGGCGCUAGUUGUGGGAACCUUCCACGGUUCUGCGACGCAGCUAACGAUUAAGCGCCCGCCUGGGGAGACGGUCGAAGACUAAACUCAAAGGAUUGACGGA